GGUCAACAAGGAAUUAAUCACUUCUAGUAAGAGAAGAUCGCAUCCUAUUUAUUCUAAUCAUAUGAUAAUUCAGGAAGUCUUUGAUCAAAGCAGAAUGAAAAUUAGAAAGAGUUUCUAAUAUUUUAUUAUUUGAAUUAUCAUUAAAAGAUUGAGAAAAAUUUGGAUAUGAAAUUGAGUUUGACAUAUAUUCAUACUCAUAUACAUAUUUGGGAUGCAGUUUGAUUAAAGGAUUGAAUUGCACGGUAACUUGCCACUGAAGGGUAUUUUUGGUAUUUCCACCAAAUUUCAUAUUUUUGGGUAGACAUGACACGUUGCUAGACGUCAAUCUUGUCUUAUAGGCUUGAUCGAAUUAAAGAGUUUAAUUCGAUCACCAAUUAGAAAGGAUUUUAAUUGUUAAGUUCGGGUUCGCGCAGUUUGGACUUAAAUCGAUUAGAAGAGUUCUAAUCAAGUUGGGUCAACUCGCACUCACACCUAUUGCUGGCUAAGUAUGGAACCCAAUGGGUCACACACAAGAAAACUUAUCAAGGGUCUAAUUGGAUUAGAUCAUGUU
This 550-nucleotide long non-coding RNA is filed under the name Phoenix dactylifera (date palm). Its description in RNAcentral is "long non-coding RNA (PDAC_LNC021819)". Lineage: Eukaryota; Viridiplantae; Streptophyta; Magnoliopsida; Arecales; Arecaceae. The record is from RNAcentral.